GGGUUCGAUUCCGGAGUGGGAGCCUGAGAAACGGCUACCACAUCCAAGGAAGGCAGCAGGCGCGCAAAUUACCCAAUCCCAAUACGGGGAGGUAGUGACAAUAAAUAACAAUAUGGGGCUCUUACGGGUCUCGUAAUUGGAAUGAGUACAAUUUAAAUCUCUUAACGAGGAACAAUUGGAGGGCAAGUCUGGUGCCAGCAGCCGCGGUAAUUCCAGCUCCAAUAGCGUAUAUUAAAGUUGUUGCAGUUAAAAAGCUCGUAGUUGAAUUUCGGAGUUUGUCGGUUGGUCGGGCUUCACUGUCCGCACUGGCCUGAUGGAUUCCUACCUUCUGAAUAACCAGCAUGCUAUUAAGUUAGUGCGUUGGGGAAGCAGAGCUAUUACCUUGAAAAAAUUAGAGUGCUUAAAGCAGGCUUUUGCUUGAAUAGAUUAGCAUGGAAUAAUAAAAUAGGACGGCAUGGUUCUAUUUUGUUGGUUUCUAGGAUCACCGUAAUGAUUAAUAGGGAUAGUUGGGGGCAUUAGUAUUCAAUUGUCAGAGGUGAAAUUCUUGGAUUUAUUGAAGACUAACUUCUGCGAAAGCAUUUGCCAAGGAUGUUU
RNAcentral lists this ribosomal RNA (594 nucleotides) under uncultured Glomeromycotina. RNAcentral describes it as "SSU rRNA". It matches the Rfam family "Eukaryotic small subunit ribosomal RNA", at positions 373 to 969 of the family's 1831-position model. Lineage: Eukaryota; Fungi; Glomeromycota. The record is from RNAcentral.